UGGAUGAAGAUAAGAGAUGAGAGAGAAACUGGCCUCCAUGACAAACACAACAAUAUAAGUUUCAUCCGGAAAAAGCGUUGUUACAUUUUUCAUCUGUCCUGCCUAGUAGUAUAGCUUGUUUUUCUUCAUUUUAACGCUAACUGUUUUUUUGUAUUAUCAUUGGUAUUGCCUUUCUGCCCCUCUCAGUUUCUAAUAAAGAUCAGGACACAGGAAGUCGUGGUCAGGGCAUUGUGCUACAGAUCCUUGGGGAAAGCUGAGAAACCUCACAGUUUGAGUGUAUGGUGAAGUUAGGAUUUUUCCUAAUGUUCCUGGGGAUUUAGCGAAGGUCAUUUACGUUUAAUAUAACUCUCAAAUCUAAUAAAAACUUAAUUAGACAGUAGGCAUGUAGGUUUACCUAGCUGAUCCCCUCCAGGUUAAAUGCUUUCUUAUUCAAGUUUUCUCAACUCGUCAUUCAAGAUGCAAUUUUGUGUUUAAGGUAUUAGGCUACCAUGUUUCAAAGAAAAACGAUUGUGGAUCUUGAUCUAAUGCAGUUGGCAUAUUAUACAACAUACUCUAAUCCAACAUAUAGAAAUACAUUACAUUUGGUCUGUGAUUAUAGAGUAUUAGAUAUAGAAAAUAUUGUAAAAACAAGAUUGUCCUAAAACAAUGAUUAAACAGUGACCAAUCUAAGAUAAAUAAGUAUUUACUAUGACAUUUUACUUAUGCAGGUGGUACUGAAAGAUUCCAGUCCUGUGGAGCUGUUUCAUCACAGCUGCACAUGUGUUGCUGAAGGAGCAUUAUGCAACCACUGUGUUGCUUUGCUGUUCCAGUCAGCACAUUACUCUCAGCUGAAGGUGCCAGUGGUCCCUCCUGUGCUAGGCUGUACUGAAGGAGAACAGCAGUGGCACAAGCCCAGAACUUUGGAGCACGCUCUACAAAGGCCUCAGUGGGGAUUUGGGUGACAGAGGUGUAUAAAAAUGUCUCAACAGCUGAGUCGCCGAUGAUCUGCAGCAUGGGCAUCAGCUGUGAAACUCCCCUGGUUGACUCUGACCUUGGCAAAGUUCAAGCCAUUGUCCUACCAACAACCAGCAACAGCAAAGGGACCUGUCCUUCCAUGCUGCCCCACCAAGUCCAUCUGUGCCUCUUCAGAAUUACCGCCUACAGCCAUCAAGUUGCAUGUUUGUCUGUGCUGAACCACAACAGCUACACCAUAGAAGUCUCACGUUUCAGGGAGAUCUGCCAGGUUCGAGAAAACUCUGAAGAAGGUCUGGCUAACCAGAUACUGCAAGGGACCCAUCAGACGGUAGCUAUGAAGAAGGGGCUCGAAUUAGAGGCAGAUGCUAUCUGGGACUAUUGCCAAAUGAAAAGGGUCAAGCACUACCUCUGUGGAUUCGUAAUUCACCUGAAGCUCCUUGGCUGGGGGCAUUUUCAGAUGGGUUAAUCAUUGACCCUUCAGAGGCAUGUCAGUUUGGGCUGAUUGAGAUGAAGUCACUGAAUGUUAAAAGCUAUGUGGAGUGCACAUAUCUCCAAACGAAUUCAGGCAAAUUGGAGCUAAAACAAACCCAUGCUUACUACUGGCAAGUACAGGGGCAGAUGCUAAUAACGGGAAUGAGUUGGUGUGAUUUUGUAGUCUCAGGUGAGGAAGAUGUACUCAUUCAAAUAAUUUACAGAAACAUUGAUGUUUUGGAUGUAAUCAGAGAGAAGGUAGUCAGGUUUUAUUUGUCUACUUGCAGAAAUGUCUAAUGCUUCCGCAUUUAUUACCAUUGUACUGAAGAGGAGGCAGACCUCUCUAGCACUACAGAUAAGAGAGAAUUUUUUGGGGGGGGGGGUGAACUGCCCCUUUAACAACUGUAAAGAACUGUAACUACAUUACAUGACAUGCUUGUGAUAUUAAUUGUUGCACCUUCAAGUUCUUAUGAAAAAAAGUCAA
This is a long non-coding RNA of Esox lucius (northern pike), 1909 nucleotides long. RefSeq lists it as uncharacterized. Lineage: Eukaryota; Metazoa; Chordata; Actinopteri; Esociformes; Esocidae. The transcript has 3 exons. The record is from RefSeq and is a predicted model, not a curated record.